ACAUUUCAAUUCUCACACAACCAACCAUAUUAUCUCUUCAUGUAAGGUUAAUUCCUAAAUUACCUAAGUAUUCUAAUGCCAGUUCCAUAUUAGUUUUAUACUUAGUAGAGUUCACUUGUUACACCACAAACACAGUAAUGAACAGUAGAAGAGUAAAGAAGGGCAUUUAUGUAAUAAACAGGUAGCCCUUCUUCUUCCUUCAAAACAUAACCGAAAGACACUCUGGAGAGACACACAGAGGGGAGAAGAGAUGGAAGACAGAGACGGAGAAGUCUCGGUCUCGACACGGUGGCCGCGCCGCACAUGGCUCUCCGGUGUCGACAUCACAGUCGGGUCCGCCAUACAUGGUGUUGGGGUUAUGUCGGCUCUCCGGCGUCGGCGGUGGUACCAGGGUUUCCGGUCACCACAACGGCGGUCAGCAGCUGUAAGUGGUUGCUAGGUUGUUGGUUGUUUCUGUUGACAUCAGCAGAACUCGAUGGCUUCAAGAAGCUCAGGCGAAACACCUAGGGUUCAGGUCCUAUUCCGGUGAAGUUCCGUCGAGAAGGAUUAAACCCCUCUACUUUCCGAUUAUACAACCCGAACCAGGUGUCUAUUGCUUCAAUCUUUAUGUUUCAACCAUGUUGGUGGGUAACAGCUAAAUCUUCGCACCUAAGGCAUGAAUUUGAUAACCUUCCUAUCGGCGCCCAUCUGGCCUUCGAGCCUUUUAAAAAGAGAUGAUACAAGCAUUUAUUUUUAUCGGUUAGUGUUCGGCAUUUGUGGAAUAAUGCUGGAAAAUAAUCGUGCGCUCAUUAUGAUGAUGCUGGUCUUUUAUAGAGUGGAAUUGAUGGGUUUCACCCUUUUAAUUAGGUUAUGACAUAAAAUCGGUUAACUUCUUUGUUUCUUAAUCAUUUCCACUAUGAAUAGUGUUUUUUUUGCCACGUGGCAAUACCUUAUUGGUUGCAUUCUUCCCAUUUACCCGAUGUUAUUGUAUCAAUAGGUUUCGUUAUGGUACUUGAUUUGGGGCUUUGGCUUAGUGAUUUGUUGGUUUUGUGGUGAUAACUUUGACGUCGGUUCGAAUCUUCACAGCCACCUUUUUCUCUACGUUGCUUCUUCCGCUUUUGAAAGCAUAAUGACCGCCAUCUACCCUUUUUGGGAGUCGCUGAAGGUAACAUGGCUCAAGUCAACAAACUCAAGUAUGAUUUCUAAUUCAUGGUUGGGUAUAACUAGACCUGGUAAUUCUGACCCAAACUAAUAUAUUUGGGUCUUUUCUAAAUUCCAUUGGGUCAGUUUGGGCUUCCUUUUAGUGAUUAGCGGGUCCAGUUGGGUCAUCCCAUAAACUUUGAAAUGUUCUUACGGAUCAGCUGGGUUUGGGCUGUAAAAAGAAACGGGUUGAACGGGUUAUAAUAAAGAGGCGGGUUACGACAGAGAUAGAGGGGACAAUUCGUGUCCGUGAUUCGUUAAUCGCCUAGAAGCAUUCACAGUUUGUGAUUCGUAUUCUUGAUUCGUUCUAGGGUUUUUGAAGUUCGUUGGUUCUGUGAAUUUGUUGGGGGAUUCGGUAAGUUCGUUUUAGUUUCUUACUCUUAUCAAUGCAAAUCAGAUUGUUGAAAUUAGUCAGCUUUAUGAUGUUUAGAAUGUUAUGAAAUUGAUUAUAUAGUGUUUGUUUAUAUAAUUUUAGCUGAUUUGUUGAGGAAAUUGAAGAAUGGAUUCAUGUAGGUUUAUAACUUUGGAUCAUUGUGUUAGGUUUUGUUGUUAAUCGACUGUGUUUGUGUGAAGAUUUGUAAUUACUCAGUAGAGACAUUAUGUAAUUGUUGUGUAUUUUAGGUCUGUGUAAAGAGUUUAUUAGUUUUAUGUUUCAUUAACUACUGUUGUUGUUGAUGUUGUUAUUAGUUUUCUGUUUCAUUAUGUAAUUGUUUUGAUGCUAUAAUAGUUGAAUAUGGUUAUACCUUACAUUUGGAUAAUUAGAAGAGGAAUUGCUACUUUUUGUUGUGUGCAUCGGAAUGCCAGUGUGUAGUGGUUCAUAUUAUAAUUUAUAAUUAUAAUGGCAAUUUAGGAAGAUUCAUAAUGCAGAUUAUGAAUCAUUUUACCCAUCUAAAAAGUUUUAUAUUUAGAAACUGUAAGGUAGCAAUUUUCUAAUUCAAAGCUGAAAAUUUGAUGUCUCUAUUGUGAUAUACACUAAUAUAGAGUUUAAGUAGUCAUUGAUUUUGUGUUUAAACUAUUGAUAGCGACAUUUAGUUUUGGCCUACAUUAAGACUUUUCUUAUGGGAUUUACAAGAAACCCUUUUUUUUUUAAUUGAUCUGUUCCGACCUGAACCCGUAUUAACCCGACAUGCCACCCGACUCAACCCACCCGUUUUGCCAGGUGUAGUAUUAAAUGAAAUUUCAUGGUGUUCUUAUCAGUUCAUGUACAAUCUCUCCUUUAAAAAAGCAUCUUUUAACCAGAUCGACCCGACCCGACCCGAAACCCGUUUUAACCCGAACUCGCUCCGACCCGAACCCGUUUUGACCCGAACCAAAACAACCCUUAUUUUAAUUGACCCAUUUCGACCCGAACCCGCCUUGACCCAUGACCCGACCCAACCCGAUCCGUUUGCCAGAUCUAGGUAUAAGAGAGGGUAAUUGGUUAUUAGGGGUUUGAUAUUUGAAUGAUUGUGUCGACUACAAGUCUCCAAUUGGCUUCUUUCCAAUUUAACCACCACCCUCAUCAGAUGAACUGAUCAAGGCUUGCAUGUCUCAGAUCUGUGUAGAUCGGUAGCCACCCUCGACAACUUAGAACUACUCAUCAAAGAAAUUAAAGGACUUCCAUGCUGCCUCAUCCAAGGAAAACGGCUUGGUGCGAUUCUUUAUCCAGAGAAGACCCAACACCUUGACUUCAUCAAUAACACAAGCGUCAAUCCCCAUCUUUUUAUUGAAAAUAGCAUUUUUCCUGGCUCUCCAAAUAGCCCAGCAAGUAAUUAUCAUAUCUAAAUGCACCAAUCUGUAUAGUUCAGUUUUACUUUGUAUUUUUAUAGAACCCAUCUGUAUAGUUCGGUAUUAUUUUGUAAAUUAAACAUUGCUAUGGUUGUGAGAAAUAAAACUGACUCUCUCGCGCAACGCGCGUUGUCAAUA
Helianthus annuus (common sunflower) is the source of this 3084-nucleotide RNA transcript. RefSeq lists it as uncharacterized. The record is from RefSeq and is a predicted model, not a curated record. NCBI's taxonomy places the organism in Eukaryota, Viridiplantae, Streptophyta, Magnoliopsida, Asterales, Asteraceae. The transcript is spliced from 3 exons.